UACGAAGGGGGCUAGCGUUGCUCGGAUUGACUGGGCGUAAAGGGCGCGUAGGCGGUUUGCAUAGUCAGACGUGAAAUUCCUGGGCUUAACCUGGGGGCUGCGUUUGAUACAUGCAGGCUUGAGUUCGGAAGAGGGUCGUGGAAUUCCCAGUGUAGAGGUGAAAUUCGUAGAUAUUGGGAAGAACACCGGUGGCGAAGGCGGCGACCUGGGUCGAUACUGACGCUGAGGUGCGAAAGCGUGGGGAGCAAACAGG
This 253-nucleotide ribosomal RNA is filed under the name uncultured bacterium. RNAcentral describes it as "partial 16S ribosomal RNA". It matches the Rfam family "Bacterial small subunit ribosomal RNA", at positions 524 to 776 of the family's 1533-position model. The record is from RNAcentral.